Molecule: microRNA precursor, 109 nt
Organism: Erinaceus europaeus (western European hedgehog)
Lineage: Eukaryota; Metazoa; Chordata; Mammalia; Eulipotyphla; Erinaceidae
Source: Ensembl
CUGUGCGUGACAUGGUGACUGCCCUCAAGGAGCUUACAAUCUAGCUGGGGGUGAAUGAUUUGACCUUGAACGCAACUAGACUGUGAGCUUCUAGAGGGCAGGGACCUAA